MicroRNA precursor from Gossypium raimondii (Peruvian cotton), 87 nucleotides. It matches the Rfam family "MIR7486 microRNA precursor family". The record is from Rfam. Lineage: Eukaryota; Viridiplantae; Streptophyta; Magnoliopsida; Malvales; Malvaceae.
CACGUCAGCGCGAGAUGCUGACGUGGAAGGAAAUCGCGUCCUUGAGAGUGCGAUUUCCUUCCACUUCAGCAUCUCGCGCUGACGUAG